UCCCUGGUGGCUCAGAGGUUAAAGCGUCUGCCUGCAGAGCAGGAGACCCAGGUUCAAUCCCUGAGUCAGGAAG
Non-coding RNA from Cervus elaphus (red deer), 73 nucleotides. NCBI's taxonomy places the organism in Eukaryota, Metazoa, Chordata, Mammalia, Artiodactyla, Cervidae. The record is from the annotation of a RefSeq genome assembly.